CGGUGUAGCUCAGUGGUAGAGUGCUUCCUUGGUAAGGAAGAGGUCACGAGUUCAAUUCUCGUCAUUG
RNAcentral lists this transfer RNA (67 nucleotides) under marine eukaryotic metagenome. It matches the Rfam family "tRNA". From Rfam's summary of the family: Transfer RNA (tRNA) molecules are approximately 80 nucleotides in length. The record is from RNAcentral.